AAAUAAGAAGCAAUAAAUUGCAUUUAGUUUCGACCUAAAAGUUAGGUGUUUCAUACCCUUAUUUA
Molecule: transfer RNA, 65 nt
Filed under: Aphodius sp. APH01
Lineage: Eukaryota; Metazoa; Arthropoda; Insecta; Coleoptera; Scarabaeidae
Description: tRNA-Arg
Source: RNAcentral